Molecule: ribosomal RNA, 253 nt
Filed under: uncultured bacterium
Lineage: Bacteria
Description: partial 16S ribosomal RNA
Rfam family: Bacterial small subunit ribosomal RNA
Source: RNAcentral
UACGGAGGAUCCGAGCGUUAUCCGGAUUUAUUGGGUUUAAAGGGAGCGUAGGUGGAUUGUUAAGUCAGUUGUGAAAGUUUGCGGCUCAACCGUAAAAUUGCAGUUGAAACUGGCAGUCUUGAGUACAGUAGAGGUGGGCGGAAUUCGUGGUGUAGCGGUGAAAUGCUUAGAUACCACGAAGAACUCCGAUUGCGAAGGCAGCUCACUAGACUGCAACUGACACUGAUGCUCGAAAGUGUGGGUAUCAAACAGG